UAAAGGAAUUGGCGGGGGAGCACUACAACGGGUGAAGCCUGCGGUUUAAUUGGACUCAACGCCGGGAAACUUACCGGGGACGACAGCAGUAUGAAGGCCAGGCUGACGACCUUGCCAGACGAGCUGAGAGGAGGUGCAUGGCCGUCGCCAGUUCGUGCCGUGAGGUAUCCUGUUAAGUCAGGCAACGAACGAGACCCGUGCCCUUAGUUGCCAGCAAGAGGUUACGACCUCGUUGGGAACACUAAGGGGACUGCCGCUGAUAAAGCGGAUGAAGGAGCGGGCCACGGCAGGUCAGUAUGCCCCGAAUCCCCCGGGCCACACGCGGGCUGCAAUGGCGCGGACAAUGGGCUGCGACUCCGAAAGGAGAAGCCAAUCCCGAAACCGCGUCUCAGUUGGGAUUGUUGGCUGCAACUCGCCGACAUGAACGUGGAAUCCCUAGUAACCGUGUGUCACCAUCGCACGGUGAAUACGUCUCUGCUCCUUGCACACACCGCCA
RNAcentral lists this ribosomal RNA (496 nucleotides) under uncultured archaeon. RNAcentral's name for it is "bacterial SSU rRNA". It matches the Rfam family "Archaeal small subunit ribosomal RNA", at positions 857 to 1351 of the family's 1478-position model. The record is from RNAcentral.